RNAcentral lists this ribosomal RNA (869 nucleotides) under uncultured Francisella sp. RNAcentral's name for it is "bacterial SSU rRNA". It matches the Rfam family "Bacterial small subunit ribosomal RNA", at positions 285 to 1145 of the family's 1533-position model. Lineage: Bacteria; Pseudomonadati; Pseudomonadota; Gammaproteobacteria; Thiotrichales; Francisellaceae. The record is from RNAcentral.
AGCUGAUUUGAGAGGAUGAUCAGCCACAUUGGGACUGAGACACGGCCCAAACUCCUACGGGAGGCAGCAGUGGGGAAUAUUGGACAAUGGGGGAAACCCUGAUCCAGCAAUGCCAUGUGUGUGAAGAAGGCUCUAGGGUUGUAAAGCACUUUAGUUGGGGAGGAAAGCCUAUGAGUUAAUAGCUUGUAGGAAGGACGUUACCCAAAGAAUAAGGACCGGCUAACUCCGUGCCAGCAGCCGCGGUAAUACGGGGGGUCCGAGCGUUAAUCGGAAUUACUGGGCGUAAAGGGUCUGUAGGUGGUUUGUUAAGUCAGAUGUGAAAGCCCAGGGCUCAACCUUGGAACUGCAUUUGAUACUGGCAAACUAGAGUAUGGUAGAGGAAUGGGGAAUUUCUGGUGUAGCGGUGAAAUGCGUAGAGAUCAGAAGGAACACCAAUGGCGAAGGCAACAUUCUGGACCAAUACUGACACUGAGGGACGAAAGCGUGGGGAUCAAACAGGAUUAGAUACCCUGGUAGUCCACGCUGUAAACGAUGAGUACUAGCUGUUGGAUUCGGUGUAAAGGAUCUAGUGGCGCAGCUAACGCGUUAAGUACUCCGCCUGGGGACUACGGCCGCAAGGCUAAAACUCAAAGGAAUUGACGGGGACCCGCACAAGCGGUGGAGCAUGUGGUUUAAUUCGAUGCAACGCGAAGAACCUUACCUGGUCUUGACAUCCUGCGAACUUUCUAGAGAUAGAUUGGUGCCUUCGGGAACGCAGUGACAGGUGCUGCACGGCUGUCGUCAGCUCGUGUUGUGAAAUGUUGGGUUAAGUCCCGCAACGAGCGCAACCCCUAUUGAUAGUUACCAUCAUUAAGUUGGGUACUCUAUUG